This 520-nucleotide ribosomal RNA is filed under the name uncultured bacterium. Its description in RNAcentral is "partial 16S ribosomal RNA". It matches the Rfam family "Bacterial small subunit ribosomal RNA", at positions 355 to 868 of the family's 1533-position model. The record is from RNAcentral.
UGGGGAAUAUUGGACAAUGGGGGGAACCCUGAUCCAGCCAUGCCGCGUGUGUGAAGAAGGCCUUAUGGUUGUAAAGCACUUUAAGCGAGGAGGAGACUACUAGUAUUAAUACUACUGGAUAGUGGACGUUACUCGCAGAAUAAGCACCGGCUAACUCUGUGCCAGCAGCCGCGGUAAUACAGAGGGUGCGAGCGUUAAUCGGAUUUACUGGGCGUAAAGCGUGCGUAGGCGGCCAUUUAAGUCAAAUGUGAAUCCCGAGCUUAACUUGGGAAUUGCAUUCGAUACUGGAUGGCUAGAGUAUGGGAGGAGGAUGGUAGAAUUCCAGGUGUAGCGGUGAAAUGCGUAGAGAUCUGGAGGAAUACCGAUGGCGAAGGCAGCCAUCUGGCCUAAUACUGACGCUGAGGUACGAAAGCAUGGGGAGCAAACGGAUUAGAUACCCUGGUAGUCCAUGCCGUAAACGAUGUCUACUAGCCGUUGGGGCCUUUGAGGCUUUAGUGGCGCAGCUAACGCGAUAAGUAGA